AGUUCUAACUGCACUGCUGUAUCGUUUUCUUGUAAAAGUAUUUUCCUAAAUUAUGUGUCUUUUUCUACACAGAUGGUGGUUAGCAUUAAAACGAUGCGCGAGUGCACAGCUGCUGCACCUCCCUGUGAAGGAACAGGGCACUGUCAUAAGGAGGACAGACUUUGAGCAACUUUCUAUUCCACUGACAUAUUAACCAUUACCCUUUAAAGUGUUGAAGAGCUUAAAUCUACGUGUGUGUGUGUGUGUGUGUGUGUGUGUGUGUGUGUGUGUGUGUUGCAGACUGUGUGGGACAAAGACAAAGCAUAGAGAAAAAGGAAAGCUGAACUGUGCUGGAAAAAGACCAUGGCUCAAACAUUACAGAGCCAGAGUCAUUUUAUCAAUAAGUACAUAGAUCUGCUCACGCAGGAUUCAGAGGAUCUGGACGCCUCAGCCUCUACAUCAGCAGAGCAUAGGUACCUAAGCAUGCUCGUAGUGACGCAGUGUUCUUAAUAAUUCAACUUGUAUUGUAUUCUCAAUAUCCAGUCAGUACAUUUAUGUCAGUAAAUGCAUGCAUCAACACUUCCUUGACUUUGCUGAGCAGUUGUCUGUUCUUUGUCCUAAAAGUUCUUGCAUAUAAUGGUGGUCUUCACAUAACAUAAGUAAAUUCCCAUCCUUAAACUCUUUAUCUUGCAUAUUCAUUUCGAGCAUUUUCUGUUGGGGUAAAUGAGUAGAGAGGAUCCUAGGCCAUUUUUAGCAAUUUCCUGCCCCAGUUCAUGUGACAGUGCUCUGGUGUGUGUGGGACCUCGUCGUUGGCGUGCCAGAGGAGGAGAGAGGAGGCAGAUGGAGAUGUGUAUCCUGUGUCACGAAGCGCAGGAGAUCCUACCUGAUGGCACCACCAUGGUGCUCGCUGCCUUUGUCCAACGCUCUACGGUCAUGUCCAAGAACCGCAAAAGACCCCCUCACAAUCCAGAGAGCUGUGAUCCCCUCUUCAUGCACCCUGACCUGUCCUUUGGUACCCAUACCGGCAGCUGUGGCCACAUCAUGCACUCUCACUGCUGGCAGAGGUCUUUGAAUAUCAAUGAUGCAAACAGGGAGGAGAAAUAUAACAGAUCACUGUCCUGCUGGAAGAUCCAACGACGGCCAAUUUGAAGCUUUCUGUCAGAGGCAGUCAGGUGUCGCGUAUCAGGAAGCUCUGGACUCCACUUCCCAUCAGCCACUGCACUGCACUACGUCACAUGACCACCUGCACCUAAUUCACGUUUUGAACGAAAGACCAACAAUCAGAAGCAGCAGAUCGCCAAGAUGGAUAACUGGGGCGUCAGGAUGCCACCAAUGUUAGUGGAGUACUUUGCCACGUUGCGCCAACAGUCGGAAGAUUACCAAGCUGCGCUACGAAAGCAGCAGGAUGCCAGGAAUUACCUGGGCUUCAACUUACCGCCUAUGUUCAUGCAGGACUACGCCAUGCUACGCCAACAGGAGGAGGAGUCCAGGUACAAGGGGGAGUUUGUGUUCAGUACAGAGACCCAGCCCGGGACCGACAGGGUGACCUCAGAGCUCGAACCUGAGCUCCACGAGGUGGGCUCACCUGCCGAGCUCCAGCAAAAGGUCAGCGGGGAGGCACUAGCACCAGGCUUUGAUGUCCGAGUCCCAGUCAAGUCUCAAGUCCCUAAGGUCCCAGCCAAGCCUCGCGUCCCUGAGGUCCAAAUCAAGCCUCGCACCGCCAAGCUCCGCUCGCGCCACAGUCCGCCGACACGCACCGCCAAGCUCCGCUCACGCCACAGUCCGCCGACACGGCCAGCCAAGCUCUGCCUAUGCCCAAGGUUCACAUAGUGACCUCAGAGCCUCAGCCUCCCCGUUCAGCUGAGGUCGUCGCUCAACCCGCCUGCUCCAUGGCAACUAGUGUUCCCCCCUUCUGCUUCGAGGAGACCCACACUCCUCUCCCUGGCCGCACGGGGGACUUCUCUCGGCCUUCCAGUUCAGCUGGGGACGUCGCGCCGCUUUCAUGCUCUGCCAAGGAAAUAUCUCAGCCUCCCUGUGCCAUUGUAGAAACCGCCUGGCCUCCUGAUUUUGCGGGGGACAUUUUCUCCAGGGGGCCAGGACCACCAGAUGGAGGACGUAUAAUUUUGGGCGCUCCGGGAGUAGCGCCCUUGGGGGGGAGGGUUCUGUCACGUAUCAGGAAGCUCUGGACUCCACUUCCCAUCAGCCACUGCACUGCACUACAUGUCACAUGACCACCUGCACCUGAUUCACGUUUUGGUUAAUGAGCACUCGUGUGUGUGUAUAUAUAGCCAUUGUCUGCACUGAUUCACUGUCUUUUGUUGUAUUAGACUACCAUGUUACAUGUUUUGUUUCAUGCCACAGUAUUUUGCCUAGUUGUCGUAGUGUCUAUGUUUUGUUGUUUGUUCAUAUAAUAAAUGUUAUAUAUCUGUGA
Molecule: RNA transcript, 2410 nt
Organism: Ictalurus punctatus (channel catfish)
Lineage: Eukaryota; Metazoa; Chordata; Actinopteri; Siluriformes; Ictaluridae
Gene name: E3 ubiquitin-protein ligase UBR2
Exons: 7
Source: RefSeq, a predicted model, not a curated record